RNAcentral lists this ribosomal RNA (556 nucleotides) under Metschnikowia sp. (in: budding yeasts & allies). Its description in RNAcentral is "Metschnikowia sp. (in: Fungi) partial large subunit ribosomal RNA". It matches the Rfam family "Eukaryotic large subunit ribosomal RNA", at positions 37 to 597 of the family's 3401-position model. Lineage: Eukaryota; Fungi; Ascomycota; Pichiomycetes; Serinales; Metschnikowiaceae. The record is from RNAcentral.
UGCAUAUCAAUAAGCGGAGGAAUUGAAACUAACAAGGAUUCCCCUAGUAGCGGCGAGCGAAGCGGGAAGAGCUCAAAUUUAUAAUCUGGCACCUUCGGUGUCCGAGUUGUAAUCUCUAGAAGUGUUUUCCGCGUUGGACCGCACACAAGUCUGUUGGAAUACAGCGGCAUAGUGGUGAAACCCCCGUAUAUGGUGCGGACGCCCAGCGCUUUGUGAUACACUUUCAAUGAGUCGAGUUGUUUGGGAAUGCAGCUCAAAUUGGGUGGUAAAUUCCAUCUAAAGCUAAAUAUUGGCGAGAGACCGAUAGCGAACAAGUACCGUGAGGGAAAGAUGAAAAGCACUUUGGAAAGAGAGUUAACAGUACGUGAAAUUGUUGGAAGGGAAACGCUUGAAGUCAGACUUGCUUGCCGGAGCUUGCUUCGGUUUGCAGGCCAGCAUCAGUUUUCCGGGGUGGAUAAUGACGGUUUGAAGGUAGCAGUCUCGGCUGUGUUAUAGCUUUCCGUUGGAUACAUCCUGGGGGACUGAGGAACGCAGCGUGCUUUUUGCGAAAGACUCG